Molecule: long non-coding RNA, 940 nt
Organism: Papaver somniferum (opium poppy)
Lineage: Eukaryota; Viridiplantae; Streptophyta; Magnoliopsida; Ranunculales; Papaveraceae
Exons: 4
Source: RefSeq, a predicted model, not a curated record
AUCUUCGGCCGAGAGAAGAGAAAAACUUUUCUUUUUCUUCAUCAAAUCUGCUUAGAUUUUAGAAUUAGAGAAGAGAAAAACGUUUCAACAAAUCAAAACCCAUGUUCUAAACAUCUUGUAAUCGAUUCAAUAGUUGAAAUCUUCCUAAACCCUAAUUUUAGAACAUCAAUUUUUUCCCUGAAUCUAACAUUAAAUCAUAAUUCAAUAGGAUUAUUAGCAGAAUUUUGUGGAUUAUAAUCAGUUGCAGGGGGUGUGCCAACAAACACUACAGCAAGGCCAAAUCCUGCUGGUGAUGCUAGGACACCGAAUAUUACUGGCUUAGGUGGGUUUGGACUACCUCCAGAUAUGGAACGGAUGCUUAAUGGCGCACAAGAUCCUUCCCAAAUGAAUCAACUUCUGCAGAAUCCAGCUGUUGGCCAGAUAAUGCAAAGCAUUCUCUCUAACCAUCAGUACAUGAAUCAAGUGUUGGGACUCAAUCCCCAACUGCGAGGCCUGCUUGAUUCCAGUCCUCAGUUGCGAGAAAUGAUGUAGAAUCCAGAAUUUUUUCGCCAGCUAACCUCUCCCGAGACAAGGCGGGUAAUAUCUCUUAAGAUAACCAACUGGAAGUGACUUAAAUUCGUUCACUCUUGAUGCAUUAGCCGUUUUCAUCUUUCGUGUGCUUCAACGAGAAAAUCACCCUGAAUUCAUCUUUCGUUCACUCGGCCCCUGCUUGGAUACAACUGCAAAGGAGUUUGUAUCGAUUCAAGGAAAUGUGCCUGCGCAAAGCUUCUCAGAAUGUAACAACAGUGGGUUAGGGUUUUCGUAGUUUCAAAUUCAGAACUUGUGUUUACAACAUUUUGGAUUUUGCACAAGUUGUUUAAUCUGAAUGGGUUUAUGGUUCAUCUAUCUAGCUUAGCUACUUUGUUGAUGUAUGAAUCGUUCUUGAUGGAUUGUGAUAAUC